This 66-nucleotide transfer RNA is filed under the name Parapolybia varia. RNAcentral's name for it is "tRNA-Val". The record is from RNAcentral. Lineage: Eukaryota; Metazoa; Arthropoda; Insecta; Hymenoptera; Vespidae.
AAAAUUUUAGUUUAAUGAAAAUUAUUUAUUUACAAUAAAUGGAUUAAUAUGUUUAUUAAAAUUUUA